This 950-nucleotide long non-coding RNA is filed under the name Homo sapiens (human). RNAcentral describes it as "HSALNT0358995". The record is from RNAcentral. Lineage: Eukaryota; Metazoa; Chordata; Mammalia; Primates; Hominidae.
CUUGCCUAAAGUUACCCAGCUGAUUAAUGUGACAGAGCCAGAGUUUUAAACCAAAACUAUCUUUCUCCAAAGGUUCCAGGCAUGAAGCAUGUGCUGUCCUGGGCCCUGAAUAUCAAGCCAGGUAGAGGAACCCCAUCCUUCUGUUGUCAUUUCAAGCUAGAGGCUCAAGCCUGGAGGAGUGAGGAUCAAGAUCGAGAACUCAAAGCUGUUUAGAGGAAGAAGCCAAGUUCAAGGAGGAGUGAGGAACGCUUGAGGCGAAACCUUUUGGAAGCUCAGGAAGCUUGGAGGAUUUCGUGGAUUACAGAAUGUUGAAGUUGGAGAACUGUAGAGGGGCCUAAAAAAUGUUCCAGAAUCAAGACGGUGCCUGAUGCCCUACCUAGCCCCUCUCCAGCACACAGGAGCCCCGGGCCCUUGGCAAUCAUGUCUGCGCAGCUUGGACCCCAUAUCCAAAAGGGGAGCACGCCCCAAUUUACUCUCACCCCACCAGGUUAAUCCAUGAGAAGAGCUUGGAACAGCGCCCGGCAGUGUCUCAGCGCACCCAAAGUGUGUGCAGACAUGCUCACUCUAGAAGAAACUAGUUGCCAUGUUGUGAGGAUACUCAACAGUCCUGUGGAGGGGGCCACAUGUAGAAAGACCGCAUGUGGAAAGAAACUGACUUGCUAGCAGCAACUUUACAGGUAUGUAUGAAAUAAACCACCUUGGAAGAAGAUCCUCCAGCCUCUCAGUCAAGACUUAAGAGAAUUUCAGCCUUCAAUCAUUUAAUCUGCCAGCCAGGACCCCAGACACUGCAGAACAGAGACAAACAUUCCUGCUGUGCCCUCUCUGAAUUCUUGACCCACAGGAACUGUGAGACAGUGAAAGAUUAUUGCCAUUUUGACCUUCUAAGUUUUGGUGUAAUUUCUUUCUUUUUUUUUUUUUAAUUGAAACAGAGUCUCGCUCUGUUGCCCAGG